This 392-nucleotide long non-coding RNA is filed under the name Linum usitatissimum (flax). RNAcentral's name for it is "long non-coding RNA (LUSI_LNC001409)". Lineage: Eukaryota; Viridiplantae; Streptophyta; Magnoliopsida; Malpighiales; Linaceae. The record is from RNAcentral.
AACUCACAACCCAACCAUUUAGAGUCAGGAGGUUGAUGAUCCCAUGACACUUUCAACUGAAUUGCGUUCAAACCAGAUGUAGGGUCCGAAUUAAGCAAAAACAGAGAACCAUUAUCCAGCAGAACGGCACACUCUUCUAGUAAAUGUGGACUCCAACAAGCAGUGACAACAGUUGAAGUUUCAAAGCUUUUAGAACCGAUAUAGACCAACGAAGUAGAAGAAGGCUGCUUUAUACCAAACCAGUGCACAGAGUUGGUACAGUAGGCCAACAAAUUCCCAAUAAUGGUAUUGUCAUCAUCAUUAUCACAAUCAGAAACUGGGUUGACAAGAAUACCUCUAACCUGCUGAUUGAGAGGCGGAGAGGCAGUGAAAAUGUCAUCAAAGGAAGUGUC